GAUGAACGCUAGCGGCAGGCCUAACACAUGCAAGUCGAGGGAGGAGCCUUCGGGCUUCGACCGGCGUACGGGUGCGUAACGCGUAUACAAUCUGCCUUUCACAUAGGGAUAGCCCGAAGAAAUUUGGAUUAAUACCUAAUGGUAUAUAGAUGUGGCAUCACCUUUAUAUUAAAGCUGAGGCGGUGAAAGAUGAGUAUGCGUUCUAUUAGCUAGUUGGAGAGGUAACGGCUCCCCAAGGCGACGAUAGAUAGGGGUUCUGAGAGGGAUAUCCCCCACACUGGUACUGGGAUACGGACCAGACUCCUACGGGAGGCAGCAGGGAGGAAUAUUGGACAAUGGUCGGAAGACUGAUCCAGCCAUGCCGCGUGCAGGAAGACGGCCUUUGGGUUGUAAACUGCUUUUGCAGGGGAAGAAUAAGGACUACGCGUAGUUUGAUGACGGUACUCUGCGAAUAAGCAGCGGCUAACUCCGUG
Molecule: ribosomal RNA, 473 nt
Filed under: uncultured bacterium
Lineage: Bacteria
Description: partial 16S ribosomal RNA
Rfam family: Bacterial small subunit ribosomal RNA
Source: RNAcentral